UUUUCUUGCGAAUAUUUUCUAACUAGAACGAAGUUUGUCAGUUAGCUUUAGUUUGAUUGUUUCCAAUUCUGUUCUAUUCAUUGUUGUCCACGUACUAGUGGUAGUAUAAAUAUUUUCGUUCUGCUUAAAGUGUGAUGGCAGUACGGCAGAUCAUACAAGGAAUGCUGAGACAUGAAAUCACAUUCAUACCACUUGGGGAAUAUUUGGUCAUCCUAUGUUGAAAAUAAACUACAAGAUACUGAUUAUAUUAGUUAUAAUGGAUUUAUGCAAUAUGGCAGUAUAGCAGAUCUGUUAUGGCAUGCUGAGUAAUGAAAUGGCUUUCAGAACACUUGGGGAAAGUAUCCACACAGCAUGUUGAAAAUGGACGAGGAGAUACUGAUAAUAAUAAUGGAUAUAUGCAAUAUGGCAGCAGAGCAGAUUACACAGGGAAUGCUGAGAGAAGAAUUCACUUUCAUUCCACUUGGCGAAAAUAUCAACAUCCUAUGUAGAAAAUGAACUUCAAGAUACUGAAAUAAUAAUAAUACAAGAUUUGUGCAAUGGACGUGUAAUGGUUAUUGAAUAUGGCAGUACGGCAGAUCAUACAAGGAAUGCUGAGACAUGAAAUCACAUUCAUACCACUUGGGGAAUAUUUGGUCAUCCUAUGUUGAAAAUAAACUACAAGAUACUGAUUAUAUUAGUUAUAAUGGAUUUAUGCAAUAUGGCAGUAUAGCAGAUCUGUUAUGGCAUGCUGAGUAAUGAAAUGGCUUUCAGAACACUUGGGGAAAGUAUCCACACAGCAUGUUGAAAAUGGACGAGGAGAUACUGAUAAUAAUAAUGGAUAUAUGCAAUAUGGCAGCAGAGCAGAUUACACAGGGAAUGCUGAGAGAAGAAUUCACUUUCAUUCCACUUGGCGAAAAUAUCAACAUCCUAUGUAGAAAAUGAACUUCAAGAUACUGAAAUAAUAAUAAUACAAGAUUUGUGCAAUGGACGUGUAAUGGUUAUUGAAUAUGGCAGUACGGCAGAUCAUACAAGGAAUGCUGAGACAUGAAAUCACAUUCAUACCACUUGGGGAAUAUAUGGUCAUCCUAUGUUGAAAAUAAACUACAAGAUACUGAUUAUAUUAGUUAUAAUGGAUUUAUGCAAUAUGGCAGCAGAGCAGAUUACACAGGGAAUGCUGAGAGAAGAAUUCACUUUCAUUCCACUUGGCGAAAAUAUCAACAUCCUAUGUAGAAAAUGAACUUCAAGAUACUGAAAUAAUAAUAAUACAAGAUUUGUGCAAUGGACGUGUAAUGGUUAUUGAAUAUGGCAGUACGGCAGAUCAUACAAGGAAUGCUGAGACAUGAAAUCACAUUCAUACCACUUGGGGAAUAUAUCGUCAUCCUAUGUUGAAAAUAAACUACAAGAUACUGAUUAUAUUAGUUAUAAUGGAUUUAUGCAAUAUGGCAGUAUAGCAGAUCUGUCAUGGCAUGCUGAGUAAUGAAUUGGCUUUCAGAACACUUGGGGAAAGUAUCCACACAGCAUGUUGAAAAUGGACGAGGAGAUACUGAUAAUAAUAAUGGAUAUAUGCAAUAUGGCAGCAGAGCAGAUUACACAGGGAAUGCUGAGAGAAGAAUUCACUUUCAUUCCACUUGGCGAGAAUAUCAACAUCCUAUGUAGAAAAUGAACUUCAAGAUACUGAAAUAAUAAUAAUACAAGAUUUGUGCAAUAGACGUGUAAUGGUUAUUGAAUGUAAUUUAUAGUAAAUGAAUAGUUGUGAAACAAUUGAAAUUUGUUAAAAAUCUUAAUAAAAUAUUGGUAAACACCUUCAGCUUGGAAUUUUCGUUCUUAAAAUUUGCCAUAGCUAUAAAAAUGGUUUUAUUAUUACUUCACGUCUACAUGAUCAUUUUGAAGAAAAUCACCAAUUUCAUAUUUUACGGUAUUCAUAAAACAGUCAAUAUUAUGUUAGUGUCAUGAAACUCUGUCAAUUAGAUUAAGAAUAUGAUUCUAAUUUACCAUUGUUAACUUUCAUUUAUUUCAUUAACCCUGAUAUUUUAAAAACCCUAUAAAACAUGAUUUUAUAUGAUAAUUUUGACGAAUAUUGUAAAUUCCAAUUUUUUACUGCAUAUAAAACACUCAGUUAUCACAGGUUAGUGUGUUGAAACCUUGUCGUUUAGAUCAAGAAGAAAAUGGUUCCAUUAUACCAUUAUUAACUUUCUUAUGUUUCAUUUAACACGAUGUUUUAAAAACACUGAAAAAUAUGUUUUCGUAUGGUAACUUUGACUGAAAUUACAAAUUUAUAUUUUUUCCAUAUUAAAAUGCAGCAUUUCUAAGUUAUUCAAACAGCGCAUUCCUUAGUUGAAUUUAUUUUACAUUCAAAUUCAACAAAACAUCGGAGUAUUUUUCUACUAUCUUUUGUCGCUUAUCAUGAUUAUUAUUUCUUAUCAUCUGUUAUAAGUUUAUCUUUCGUAUUAUUAUCUUCUUUCAGUUUUACUUUCGUAUUUGCAUUUGAGUUUGAAUUGUAAUUUUUCUUGCGAAUAUUUUCUAACUAGAACGAAGUUUGUCAGUUAGCUUUAGUUUGAUUGUUUCCAAUUCUGUUCUAUUCAUUGUUGUCCACGUACUAGUGGUAGUAUAAAUAUUUUCGUUCUCCUUAAAGUGUGAUGGCAGUACGGCAGAUCAUACAAGGAAUGCUGAGACAUGAAAUCACAUUCAUACCACUUGGGGAAUAUAUCGUCAUCCUAUGUUGAAAAUAAACUACAAGAUACUGAUUAUAUUAGUUAUAAUGGAUUUAUGCAAUAUGGCAGUAUAGCAGAUCUGUCAUGGCAUGCUGAGUAAUGAAUUGGCUUUCAGAACACUUGGGGAAAGUAUCCACACAGCAUGUUGAAAAUGGACGAGGAGAUACUGAUAAUAAUAAUGGAUAUAUGCAAUAUGGCAGCAGAGCAGAUUACACAGGGAAUGCUGAGAGAAGAAUUCACUUUCAUUCCACUUGGCGAAAAUAUCAACAUCCUAUGUAGAAAAUGAACUUCAAGAUACUGAAAUAAUAAUAAUACAAGAUUUGUGCAAUGGACGUGUAAUGGUUAUUGAAUAUGGCAGUACGGCAGAUCAUACAAGGAAUGCUGAGACAUGAAAUCACAUUCAUACCACUUGGGGAAUAUAUCGUCAUCCUAUGUUGAAAAUAAACUACAAGAUACUGAUUAUAUUAGUUAUAAUGGAUUUAUGCAAUAUGGCAGUAUAGCAGAUCUGUCAUGGCAUGCUGAGUAAUGAAUUGGCUUUCAGAACACUUGGGGAAAGUAUCCACACAGCAUGUUGAAAAUGGACGAGGAGAUACUGAUAAUAAUAAUGGAUAUAUGCAAUAUGGCAGCAGAGCAGAUUACACAGGGAAUGCUGAGAGAAGAAUUCACUUUCAUUCCACUUGGCGAAAAUAUCAACAUCCUAUGUAGAAAAUGAACUUCAAGAUACUGAAAUAAUAAUAAUACAAGAUUUGUGCAAUGGACGUAUGGCAGUACGGCAGAUCAUACAAGGAAUGCUGAGACACGAAAUCACAUUCAUACCACUUGGGGAAUAUAUCGUCAUCCUAUGUUGAAAAUAAACUACAAGAUACUGAUUAUAUUAGUUAUAAUGGAUUUAUGCAAUAUGGCAGUAUAGCAGAUCUGUCAUGGCAUGCUGAGUAAUGAAUUGGCUUUCAGAACACUUGGGGAAAGUAUCCACACAGCAUGUUGAAAAUGGACGAGGAGAUACUGAUAAUAAUAAUGGAUAUAUGCAAUAUGGCAGUAUAGCAGAUCUGUCAUGGCAUGCUGAGUAAUGAAUUGGCUUUCAGAACACUUGGGGAAAGUAUCCACACAGCAUGUUGAAAAUGGACGAGGAGAUACUGAUAAUAAUAAUGGAUAUAUGCAAUAUGGCAGCUGAGCAGAUUACACAGGGAAUGCUGAGAGAAGAAUUCACUUUCAUUCCACUUGGCGAAAAUAUCAACAUCCUAUGUAGAAAAUGAACUUCAAGAUACUGAAAUAAUAAUAAUACAAGAUUUGUGCAAUGGACGUAUGGCAGUACGGCAGAUCAUACAAGGAAUGCUGAGACACGAAAUCACAUUCAUACCACUUGGGGAAUAUAUCGUCAUCCUAUGUUGAAAAUAAACUACAAGAUACUGAUUAUAUUAGUUAUAAUGGAUUUAUGCAAUAUGGCAGUAUAGCAGAUCUGUCAUGGCAUGCUGAGUAAUGAAUUGGCUUUCAGAACACUUGGGGAAAGUAUCCACACAGCAUGUUGAAAAUGGACGAGGAGAUACUGAUAAUAAUAAUGGAUAUAUGCAUU
RNAcentral lists this long non-coding RNA (4260 nucleotides) under Rhopalosiphum maidis (corn leaf aphid). RNAcentral describes it as "uncharacterized LOC113558404, transcript variant X16". Lineage: Eukaryota; Metazoa; Arthropoda; Insecta; Hemiptera; Aphididae. The record is from RNAcentral.